Molecule: ribosomal RNA, 429 nt
Filed under: Pseudomonadota bacterium
Lineage: Bacteria; Pseudomonadati; Pseudomonadota
Description: Proteobacteria bacterium partial 16S ribosomal RNA
Rfam family: Bacterial small subunit ribosomal RNA
Source: RNAcentral
UGGGGAAUAUUGGACAAUGGGCGAAAGCCUGAUCCAGCCAUGCCGCGUGUGUGAAGAAGGUCUUCGGAUUGUAAAGCACUUUAAGUUGGGAGGAAGGGCAGUAAGCGAAUACCUUGCUGUUUUGACGUGACCGACAGAAUAAGCACCGGCUAACUCUGUGCCAGCAGCCGCGGUAAUACAGAGGGUGCAAGCGUUAAUCGGAAUUACUGGGCGUAAAGCGCGCGUAGGUGGUUCGUUAAGUUGAAUGUGAAAGCCCCGGGCUCAACCUGGGAACUGCAUCCCAAACUGGCGAGCUAGAGUAGGGCAGAGGGUGGUGGAAUUUCCUGUGUAGCGGUGAAAUGCGUAGAUAUAGGAAGGAACACCAGUGGCGAAGGCGACCACCUGGGCUCAUACUGACACUGAGGUGCGAAAGCGUGGGGAGCAAACAGG